This 410-nucleotide ribosomal RNA is filed under the name uncultured bacterium. RNAcentral describes it as "bacterial SSU rRNA". It matches the Rfam family "Bacterial small subunit ribosomal RNA", at positions 28 to 447 of the family's 1533-position model. The record is from RNAcentral.
GAUGAACGCUGGCGGCGUGCCUAACACAUGCAAGUCGAGCGAUUUACUUCGGUAAAGAGCGGCSGACGGGUGAGUAACGCGUGGGUAACCUGCCCUGUACACACGGAUAACAUACCGAAAGGUAUGCUAAUACGAGAUAACAUGAGAAAGUCGCAUGGCUUUCUUAUCAAAGCUCUGGCGGUACAGGAUGGACCCGCGUCUGAUUAGCUAGUUGGUAAGGUAMCGGCUUACCAAGGCGACGAUCAGUAGCCGACCUGAGAGGGUGAUCGGCCACAUUGGAACUGAGACACGGUCCAAACUCCUACGGGAGGCAGCAGUGGGGAAUAUUGCACAAUGGGCGAAAGCCUGAUGCAGCAACGCCGCGUGAGCGAUGAAGGCCUUCGGGUCGUAAAGCUCUGUCCUCAAGGAAG